This 468-nucleotide ribosomal RNA is filed under the name uncultured bacterium. RNAcentral's name for it is "partial 16S ribosomal RNA". It matches the Rfam family "Bacterial small subunit ribosomal RNA", at positions 28 to 507 of the family's 1533-position model. The record is from RNAcentral.
GACGAACGCUGGCGGCGUGCUUAACACAUGCAAGUCGAACGGAAAGGCCCUGCUUUCGUGGGGUGCUCGAGUGGCGAACGGGUGAGUAACACGUGAGUAACCUGCCCUUGACUUUGGGAUAACUUCAGGAAACUGGAGCUAAUACCGUAUAGGAGCUCCUGUUGCAUGGUGGGGGUUGGAAAGUUUCGGCGGUCGGGGAUGGAUUAGCGGCUUAUCAGCUUGUUGGUGGGGUAGUGGCUUACCAAGGCUUUGACGGGUAGCCGGCCUGAGAGGGUGACCGGCCACAUUAGGACUGAGAUACGGACCAGACUGCUACGGGAGGCAACAGGGGGAAGUAUGGCACAAUGGGCGGGAGCCUGAUGCAGCAACGCUGCGUGCGGGAUGACGGCCUUCGGGUAGAAAACCGCUUUAGCCUAUGACGAAGCGUGUGUGACGGUAAUGGGUAAAGAAGCACCGGCUAACUACGUG